RNAcentral lists this ribosomal RNA (539 nucleotides) under uncultured Geobacteraceae bacterium. RNAcentral describes it as "bacterial SSU rRNA". It matches the Rfam family "Bacterial small subunit ribosomal RNA", at positions 9 to 526 of the family's 1533-position model. The record is from RNAcentral. Lineage: Bacteria; Pseudomonadati; Thermodesulfobacteriota; Desulfuromonadia; Geobacterales; Geobacteraceae.
GAGUUUGAUUCUGGCUCAGAACGAACGCUGGCGGCGUGCUUAACACAUGCAAGUCGAACGUGAUCCGGAGCUUGCUCCGGUGAAAGUGGCGCACGGGUGAGUAACGCGUGGAUAACCUGCCCUGGUAUCUGGGAUAACAUCUCGAAAGGGGUGCUAAUACCGGAUAAGCCCACGGAUUCCUAGGAGUCUGUGGGAAAAGGAGGCCUCUAUUUAUAAGCUUCCGUAUCAGGAUGGGUCCGCGUACCAUUAGCUAGUUGGUGGGGUAAUGGCCUACCAAGGCGACGAUGGUUAGCUGGUCUGAGAGGAUGAUCAGCCACACUGGAACUGAGACACGGUCCAGACUCCUACGGGAGGCAGCAGUGGGGAAUUUUGCGCAAUGGGGGAAACCCUGACGCAGCAACGCCGCGUGAGUGAUGAAGGCUUUCGGGUCGUAAAGCUCUGUCAGAGGGGAAGAAAUGGGUCGUGCUAAUAUCGCGACUUCUUGACGGUACCCUCAAAGGAAGCACCGGCUAACUCCGUGCCAGCAGCCGCGGUAAUAC